This 76-nucleotide ribosomal RNA is filed under the name Prunus dulcis (almond). RNAcentral describes it as "rRNA SSU_rRNA_archaea". Lineage: Eukaryota; Viridiplantae; Streptophyta; Magnoliopsida; Rosales; Rosaceae. The record is from RNAcentral.
ACCCUCGUGUUUAGUUGCCACCGUUGAGUUUGGAACCCUGAGCAGACUGCCGGUGAUAAGCCGGAGGAAGGUGAGG